AUUGAACGCUGGCGGCAUGCUUUACACAUGCAAGUCGAACGGUAACAGCACUUCGGUGGCUGACGAGUGGCGACCGGGUGAGUAAUACAUAGGAACGUGCCUCGUAGUGGGGGAUAACUACUCGAAAGAGUAGCUAAUACCGCAUGAGAUCUAAGGAUGAGAGCAGGGGACCUUCGGGGCUUGCGCCACUCGAGCGGCUGAUGGCAGAUUAGGUCGUUGGUGGGAUAAAAGCUUACCAAGGCGACGAUUUGUAGCUGGUCUGAGAGGACGAGCAGCCACACUGGAACUGAGACACGGCCCAGACUCCUACGGGAGGCAGCAGUGGGGAAUUUUGGACAAUGGGCGCAAGCCUGAUCGAGCAAUGCCGCGUGCAGGAUGAAGGCCUUCGGGUUGUAAACUGCUUUUGUACGGAACGAAAAGCUCUCUUCUAAUACAGGAGGAUCAUGACGGUACCGUAAGAAUAAGCACCGGCUAACUACGUG
RNAcentral lists this ribosomal RNA (482 nucleotides) under uncultured bacterium. RNAcentral describes it as "partial 16S ribosomal RNA". It matches the Rfam family "Bacterial small subunit ribosomal RNA", at positions 30 to 507 of the family's 1533-position model. The record is from RNAcentral.